Molecule: ribosomal RNA, 527 nt
Rfam family: Microsporidia small subunit ribosomal RNA (bases 167-527)
AAUAAUUAAAGGAGUUUGAUGAGGAAAUUUACUAUAAAAGUUAAAGGUGAAAUUUGGUGUUUAAGUGUAGUAAGUUUGUUUAUUAAGAGUUCUUGAGGUUAUAAAAUUUUAGAUCUAAAUCAGGAUUAGAUACCCUGUUAUACUAUCUUUCAAUUUAAGGAUACUUGAGUAGUAAACAGUUAUGUUCUCGAAACUUAAAGGAUUUGGCGGUAUUUUAGUCUAGUUAGAGGAACCUGUUCUAUAAACGAUAAACCACGAAGAAUCUUACUCUUUUUUGUAAAUCAGUUUGUAUACCGUCAUUAUUAGAUAAUCUUUAUAAAGAAUUAUUAAAAUAAGUAUUUUAGUAUAUUAGAUCAAGGUGCAGCCAAUAGGGGAGCAAGAAAUGGGUUACAAUGUUAUUGAUAUAAACUGGGAAGAAGCUGAAAAUUUUUUUGAAGGUGGAUUUAAUAGUAAUAGUCUUUUAAUAAGGGAUUAUGAUAAUAGCUCUAAGAUAUGUACACAUCGCCCGUCGCUCUCACUCUUAAUGU